UACGUAUGGUGCAAGCGUUAUCCGGAUUUACUGGGCGUAAAGGGAGCGCAGGCGGCGCGCCAAGUCUGAUGUGAAACCCCGGGGCUCAACCCCGGGCAUGCAUUGGAAACGGGCGGGCUGGAGUGCCGGAGAGGUAAGCGGAAUUCCUAGUGUAGCGGUGAAAUGCGUAGAUAUUAGGAGGAACACCAGUGGCGAAGGCGGCUUACUGGACGGCAACUGACGCUGAGGCUCGAAAGCGUGGGGAGCAAACAGG
This 253-nucleotide ribosomal RNA is filed under the name uncultured bacterium. RNAcentral's name for it is "partial 16S ribosomal RNA". It matches the Rfam family "Bacterial small subunit ribosomal RNA", at positions 524 to 776 of the family's 1533-position model. The record is from RNAcentral.